Non-coding RNA from Vicugna pacos (alpaca), 1616 nucleotides. NCBI's taxonomy places the organism in Eukaryota, Metazoa, Chordata, Mammalia, Artiodactyla, Camelidae. The record is from RefSeq and is a predicted model, not a curated record.
CCCGGUGAUGCUCACUCACCCUGGCAACGUGCCCACUUGAAUCAGCUCAGCGUAAAACAGGGGGAGAAAAUCUGCUCGUCUUUCCGGGUCCUAAGGGGGCCCUGCGGCCUCCCCCACCUCCCCCACCCCGCCCAGAUGGCAGCGUUUGUGAGGAGAGUCACCCAGGGGACAGCGAGCAGCUCCACCGAGACUGGACGACCCUGGAAACACUCUUCAGGGCACAACUCUUGUGGUGACAGUGGCCCCAGAAGGCAAGCAGGCUGAGCUGUGACCCAUACCAUCUUGCUGCCUGAGCAGAGAUGCUUUGGGAGUUGGCCUGUGUCAGCGAGCAGGGUUUUGGUUCCUGUUUUCUCUCCUUGGACCUGCCAGGACGCUAUCAGGUGUGGGCCGGGGGCCCCCCAGGUGCGCCCACGUGGCCCCGGGUCCAUGGCUCCCCCCAGGGGCCGGGCACUGGUUCCCAGAGCCCCAGUUCCGGACCCUCCCUGCCUCUGCACAGGCCGGGAGAGGGUGAGCCCCACGCAGGCUGACGUCAGCCCAGCCUUCCGGACAGGAAGCCUGCAGCCGGCAUCCGGACCUCCAGUCCGCGCCCGGCCGCGGCUGGCACCAGGGACGCCGCAGCUCUGAACAAGAGGGGCUAAAAGCUCCCUUCGCCCAGUGAAACUCUCAGGUGUGUCCUGGAGCAGCCCCCGUCCUCCCCUGAUGGGCAGCAGACAUUCUGGUCUGGCCAAGGGGACCACCCCCAACAAGGGCAGAGCUGGAGUGGCCCAGGGCGACCACAGCGCCCCUCUCCCCGGGGAUCCAAGUUGGGUCAGUGUCAGGCCAAGCAGGGCGGAAGCUACCCCACCCACGCCCCAGUGGGGAGUCGGCCCUGUAUAGGUGUUCAGCUAAGAUCUCAGAACCUUCCAGAACCCCGCAGGCCCCUGGUAACCUGUCUCUGACACGCAGUCCGCCCCCACUUAUCAGUCUUGGGGCUCCUUUUCUUCCUGGUUCCAUUGCUCCUAGGAACUCACAGGACUUUGGACAGAUCUGAGUUCAGAUCCUGCCCCCUCCUGGGGCCGGCGGGUGUCGGGGGCUGUGGGCGUGAAUGCCCCCUCCAUGGCGGUUCAGAUGCACUGACACCAAGAUGAGGCAGCGGGCACUUAGGCAGCAGAGGGAACUUUGGGGGAUGGGUAGAUUUCAGACCCUGGGUCUUCCGGCUUCUGGGAGCUGCAUCCUGCAACCAGACAAAUCCCAUCUGAAGCCCUGCAGUGGGGCCCAGGAAGCUACAUUUUCACAAGGCCCCGAAUUUGCAGCAUGUCUGAGCUCUGGGUUGUAGCCUCGGGCUGGGGCCCUGGUUCACCAGCUACAUCCCUCAGUGUUUCUGAGCUUCAGCUUCCUCAUCUGCAAAAGGCCAUUCUCACCGCAGCCUGCACAGAAUGCUCUAGGCGUGGGUGCUGGGCCAUAGCAGGUGUCGGGCGAGUGGUCCUGCCCAGCAAACACGGAAACCACACAGCACGAGAGUGAAAGGUGCCUGCCGCUCUGCCGUCCAGCGGACAUGGGUUCUGAAACAUUUCAGUGUGUUUUCUGCCAGCUUACCUUAUCAAUAUAAUACAAUUAAAAGCUGGGGCCAUGCUGUA